This 478-nucleotide ribosomal RNA is filed under the name uncultured bacterium. RNAcentral describes it as "partial 16S ribosomal RNA". It matches the Rfam family "Bacterial small subunit ribosomal RNA", at positions 28 to 507 of the family's 1533-position model. The record is from RNAcentral.
GAUGAACGCUGGCGGCGUGCUUAACACAUGCAAGUCGAACGGGAACCCUUUUAUUGACGCUUCGGCAGAUUUAGCUGGGUUCUAGUGGCCGACGGGUGAUUAACGCGCGUGUAACCUGCCUUAUACAGGGGUAUAACAGUCAGACAUGGCUGCUAAUACCGCAUAAGCGCACACAGCUGCAUUGCCCAGUUCGAAAAACUCCGGUUGGAUAAGAUGGACCCGCGUUGUAUUAGCUGGUUGGUAGGGUAACGGCCCCCCAAUGUGACGAUCCAUAGCCCGCGUGAGAGGGUGAGCGGACACAUUGGGGCUAGGACACGGCGCAGACUCCUACGCGAGGCAGCAGUGGGGAAUAUUGCACAAUGGGGGAAACCAUGAUGGAGCGACGCCGCGUGAAGGAAGAAGUAUCGCGGGAUGUAGCCUUCUAUCAGAAGGGAGGAUAAUGACGGUACCUGAAGAAGAAGCCCCGGCUAACUACGUG